GACGAACGCUGGCGGCGUGCUUAACACAUGCAAGUCGAACGGAAAGGCCAUGCUUUUGUUCGGUGCUCGAGUGGCGAACGGGUGAGUAACACGUGAGUAACCCGCCCCUGACUUUGGGAUAACUUCUGGAAACUGGGGCUAAUACCGGAUAGGAGCUAUUGCUGCAUGGUGGGGGUUGGAAAGUUUCGGCGGUUGGGGAUGGACUCGCGGCUUAUCAGCUUGUUGGUGAGGUAGUGGCUUACCCAGGCUGUGAGGGAUAGCCGGCCUGAGAGGGUGACCGGCCCCAAUGGGACUGAGAUACGGCGCAGACGCCAACGGGAGGCAGUAGGGGGGAAUAUGGCGCAGCAGGCGGGAGCCUGAUACAGCAGCCUCGCGUGCGGAAUGAUGGGCUUCGGGUUGUAAACCGAUUUCUACUUUGAUAAGGAGUUAUUGACGGUAAGGAGUAAAGAAGCACCGGCUAACUACGUG
This 468-nucleotide ribosomal RNA is filed under the name uncultured bacterium. Its description in RNAcentral is "partial 16S ribosomal RNA". It matches the Rfam family "Bacterial small subunit ribosomal RNA", at positions 28 to 507 of the family's 1533-position model. The record is from RNAcentral.